AGUGAACGCUGGCGGUAGGCCUAACACAUGCAAGUCGAACGGCAGCACAGUAAGAGCUUGCUCCUACGGGUGGCGAGUGGCGGACGGGUGAGGAAUACAUCGGAAUCUACUUUUUCGUGGGGGAUAACGUAGGGAAACUUACGCUAAUACCGCAUACGACCUACGGGUGAAAGCAGGGGAUCUUCGGACCUUGCGCGAUUGAAUGAGCCGAUGUCGGAAUAGCUAGUUGGCGGGGUAAAGGCCCACCAAGGCGACGAUCCGUAGCUGGUCUGAGAGGAUGAUCAGCCACACUGGAACUGAGACACGGUCCAGACUCCUACGGGAGGCAGCAGUGGGGAAUAUUGGACAAUGGGCGCAAGCCUGAUCCAGCCAUACCGCGUGGGUGAAGAAGGCCUUCGGGUUGUAAAGCCCUUUUGUUGGGAAAGAAAAGCAGCAGGUUAAUACCCCGCUGUUCUGACGGUACCCAAAGAAUAAGCACCGGCUAACUUCGUG
Molecule: ribosomal RNA, 492 nt
Filed under: uncultured bacterium
Lineage: Bacteria
Description: partial 16S ribosomal RNA
Rfam family: Bacterial small subunit ribosomal RNA
Source: RNAcentral